ACAUACCCGGAAAUUUAACUCUACCUCUACAGAAUCACCACAGCCAUUGGAUACUUGAUUUGAGUGAUUUUUGUCUCUGGAUGUUAUUCAUUUAAAAUUCAUGUUCGUGCUUUCAGUAAGAGUCAGAGACCUUAUUUAUCUGUUGGGCCACAGACUAAAGUGGUAGUUUGCGCUUACUCUUGUAUUUUGAGUAGUUCCCUUUUUCCAACUCUAGUUUUCUUGUUAGCUAAUCCAUAACCUUUGAUAUAUACCAGCAGAGCUCAGUCCCUCAGAAACAUAACAAAUCUACAUUCUUGUUGGCAGCUUGCCGUGGACAAGAACUAUCACACCACCUGUCCCAAGGUGCUCUACAGGGCCAAUGAUGACCGCAAAGUGCUUCCAAAAAUGCAUCUGGAUCCAGUGGAUUUAAAACAUGUGUACGUGCCAUUUCAAAACCAGGUAGGCGCAUUGGACAGGCUGUGUUGAACAUCGGGAGAUUGUGAUUACCAGUACUUUAAAUUUAGUUGAUUGCCUGAAUGUCAUCUCUAUGUUAGCCAUAUUUCAAAGUGUUUUUGAUUGUGUUUUGUUCUAGAUUAAGCGUGUAGCUGUCUCAAACUGCAGCACAUACACAAAUGUGGAAGACUGUUGGUCUGCACAGGAUCCAUACUGUGUCUGGUGCGGCUCUAAAGGAAGUUGCACAUUUGAAGAUGACUGCCCAGGCUCAGACUGGUUGUCCAUUCCUGACGACUCUCAACAGAAGAUGAUUUCCCACCAAGUUACCAUGGACAACACUGGACAGGUAUACAGUAGAGCAUAUCCAAGCUUUAAACUUCACUAAGUUGUGACUGUCAUCUAUUUCUCCUCUAAACACUCACUUCCUUUCUCAGAGCACACUUACAAUCCAGACACACGUGACUGCGGGUUCUGAGGCGCUCGCUAACUUCGCCUGUCAGUUCUCCACAAGUUCCAGUCAGCUUUGUAUCAGGAACAGCCCUCCUCCACAGUUCCCACAAUGCACCUGCAUCCUUACAAACAGCACACUUCCUGCUGAAGGUCAGUGACUUUUGGUAAACAUAAUAAUUCAGUUAAUUAAAUAACUGACAAUCAAGGACCCUCAGACAGAUUGAUGAUUGUGACCAAGACUCUGACAUUGACUCUAUUAUUUUCACUCAACAGGUAUGCAUGUCACAGUUAAGAUUAGACUUGGGAAGACACGUUUGACUGAACCACUGAAGAUAUCCAACUGUGCUGACAUCAUUGGACCACCAACCUCUGUCCUGUAAGUCCAUACGCAAGUAGACAGAUAAUUCCUACCAUAAAUUAUAGAAGAUAGAGCUGAAAAAGCUAAAAUACAUAAUCAGUUA
Molecule: long non-coding RNA, 1343 nt
Filed under: Sparus aurata (gilthead seabream)
Lineage: Eukaryota; Metazoa; Chordata; Actinopteri; Spariformes; Sparidae
Description: lncRNA (ENSSAUG00010023000.1)
Source: RNAcentral